This is a long non-coding RNA of Numida meleagris (helmeted guineafowl), 11700 nucleotides long. RefSeq lists it as uncharacterized. NCBI's taxonomy places the organism in Eukaryota, Metazoa, Chordata, Aves, Galliformes, Numididae. The record is from RefSeq and is a predicted model, not a curated record. The transcript is spliced from 5 exons.
UCCAUCUCUUCCCAGACCUCAUUUAAGGGCUGGCAGUGGAGGCAAGGGCAUUUCUUGCUGGAGAUCCCUGCUUACCUGAGACCUUUCAAAAAUAAGUAGCUCUUUUCUAUCAUUUUUGUGCCUGUUGCAUUUGGGCUUGUUCUUGUUUGCUGUAGCCAAAGUCUUUGUCACCCUGCUGUUAUCAUGGUACCUUCCAUCCUAUUGUAGCAUUACAGAGCCAAAGAACAAGGUUUAGGUGUGGGUUCCUGGAGCUAGGUUCCAUGCUUUACUAAAUUAGAUGCUUAACAACAGCUGGCAUGCUUGGUAUAAAGCAACUCUGGAAACAGAAUUCCUGACUUCACCUGCCCAGGCUCUUGUCAAAUUUUUCCUGAAGAUAAGCAGCUGUAUCUGUCUUCUCCAAGUUCUUAUCUAGGUUCAGCCUUCUGCUUGAAAGCAUGGCUUAGCAUUGUUCUCCUGCGUAAUAAUUCUCUCUAUGGAAGUGGAAAGCUCUGAUCUGAGCCCAUCAUCUUUAUAAAGAAAUCAGAGGUUCCCUAUCUAUCCUAGUAGCAAGUUUUGAUGUUAUGUUAUAACCUGGGCCAUAAUUUGCUCUUUGGCUGAAGCUGUGCCACAGAGGACAUGUAAUUCACUUUGCUAGCACGAGGCCACUGAGAGUCUGAAACUGUGGUUAAAGUACUUGCCCAGCAGAGGGAAGUCAUAGCCUCUGAUUGUUUUACAAGCUCUCUUUCAGAACAGAAAUCCAGUGGCUUUAAGAUGCAGUGAAUAAGCAGCCUUGACCAUCUGUUUUUUUUUUUCAUUGGUCAAGAUCCUUUGAGUCUCGAUUUUAGGUGUACAAAUGCGGUAUGUCUUAGUGUGUCACCCCAAUCUUCUUUACAGAGAGAAAUAAUUUGUUUUCUACCAUAGGAUGAGGUGCAUUUUCCACUGGAGAUCUCCUUUUCUGUCUGGUGGCUAUGAAAGGAACCUAGGUGACUAGCUCAGACACAGGGAUUUCACAGAUCAGCACUUACGUUAAGUCAUGCAGGUUUUAAUCCUGUUGGCCAUAGCUGCCAACAUGACAUUGGUGUUAGGAUGAGGAACAUCCUCCCUUUGCCUUUUUGUUCUGCUCACUUGCUGCAGACUGCCAAUUAGGACAUAGCAAGUAGCUUAAUAUCAGCGUAAUGGCCAUUAUGCUCUCAAAUAAUUGAAGAAACAAAAUACCUUUGUAGCAAGGCUUUCCCUUUCUCUUGUCUAGCAUCUUGCCUGAUAAUAACAUUUACUCCUGUAAUUAAAACCACUUUUUUUCUGCAGUUGAUUCUCCAUGCUUCAAGGUUUCUGUGGCAAGUGAUUGCUGUGUUUUAUGCUUUCUACACAAAAUAUAACCAACUAAUCAUGCCCUGGAGUGUCUCUGCUUACUUUCCUGCUUCCUCAUAUUCUGCCAGGGCAGGAAGGAAAGUAGUUGUAGGGUGUAUUUGCAAGCAGUUACUGUGUGUAAACUUGUUAUCUAGCCUCGAGCUGGCUAGAUAUCUGGCGGAACAGAUGAGUGGAUGAUCUGUUGCUGCUGCCUCUGUGUAUUGUUUAUCUGUUUUCCAUUUCCCCAAACACAUCAGCUUCUUAUGGCUUUGCUUUCCUUACCUAUCAAGAAAUAGGUAUGUUUUAUAGACCCAGCCAUGCUAAAGGCUGGAAUGGCUUUGUGGAGUUCUCAGGGGAGGAAGGGCCCAUCCAGUACCACUGUGCCAAGCUCAAACCUUGUCAGAUCUGGUGGAGAACGGUGCGGCACCUACUCUUCAGGCUUCCUUGAAAGCUGAACCUCUAAUGUAGUGCUUGGUCUGCGAGAACAGGAGAUUUAAGAAAUUUCUUGUAACAAAUCCUCACAAACUGGCAACAUCUGUCGGCCUGUCAGCAAUAAUUGCAUCCAGAAAAAAUAGCACGUGAGGCUGGAAAUAAUGGAGUGGUACGUACUGGAGAAGAGGAAGCAGAUGGCACAUACUGCAGAAGAAAACUAAGCAUCCCCAGGUCUCAUGCAUUUCAUUACUUAAUCCUUCUGACAGCCUUACUCAUACUUUCUGGGACUCAAAGAUUUAAACCUCUCUGAUUUUUAUCUACAUUCCCAGAAUGUCCCUGGCCUAACCCUAUAGUUCUUCUUUAGUUUAUACACACCCAAGCUGACUAAACAUGACUGAUGCCCACUUGUGUCUUCAGGAUAAACAGAGACAUCCCUUCACCUUGGCUUUGCUCCUGUGUGUGUAGGAACAGCAGAGAUACAAUAUCAGCAGUGCAAGGACACAGAUGAUAGCUGCUGGCUGGGGAAAACUGGAAAGAUCUUGCUCACCUCAUGCAUGACUAGCUGUGAUCUAAGUGAGACAUGCUUCAUGUAGUAUACUAUUAUAUCAAAUGACUGCUUUUUGCAACAAGACAACUGGAAAAUAUUAUAAAAGGAUCGCAGCCUGAAAAUUGCCAGUAGACACUGAAUAUAAGUUACAAUGCAUCAGAAGCAAACCUGUCACAUGAGCAGUCCCAAAGUGCUUUUUAUUUAUCAACAGUUAGCAAGCACCUGAUAUAAAUUUUGUUUGUUAUGAUAGCAACUGCUGCUCUCAUAGGAAACACUAUGAAAAGACCUAAUUUUACUCAGAGUGCCUUUAUAUUAGAAAGUGUGUAUUUUUCCAGCAGUUUUUGCUAACACACUAAAUAUGAUACAAGUCUUAAUGACUUUACAGCAUUCCCACUUAAUAUGCUGGCAUAAAAAAUAAUAGUGCAUGUUUCUGUUUGCAAGAAAACAAAUUCUUAUGCUUUCCUUGUUUUCAGUUUCUGCAGGUUUAAAAAAAAAAUUUGUAGAAAUGCGGUACGAUUUUCCAUUUAGGUGGUAAUUUCAGGGGAUGUUGUGAACUAUUGGUAGAAAAAAAUGUAAUUCCUAAUAGGUCAUCUACCUACAGCUACAGAAUUAUAGAGCAAGUAGACUGUUGUUUUCAUCUGCUCUAAGCAGAGUACUAAGACAAUGCUAUUGUACAUAAAAUGAGUAAUAAGCCUCAAGUAACUGACAUUUACCAGCGUGUCAGGUUCAUCAUUUUUACAGUCAUAGCUGAAAUUGCGUUUACAAAAUUGCUCUCAUGAAGCAGGCUUUUCAUUCUGAUAGAUUCCCUCCUUCUCAAAGUAUAAUUCAUCUUCUUGUGAAAGCAUUGAUCUUAAUCCUUAGCCUCUGUUAAGAUUACUAGAUCUUCCAGUUUUAAAUUUAAGGUUCUUUAUCUUAACGCUCCCUGAACUGAUGCCUGUUUGACCCCAUUCUACUUCUUGUGUCAUUUGUUCUGUGCAACAUGGAGAUAGUGUAAAAGGAAUAGCUCGUGGUCAAAGGGCUCUGUUCAGAGGUGCCUUACACGCUGCCUGCUGCCAGAUGUAAUGUAAAUGGGACCAAAAAUUCAGUAUAAUUCUGCUUUGUAACUUAGAUGGCAUCAUUAUUUUGUGAAGUAAGGUUAUUUGCUGUACCGCAGAGCAACCUUCUGGCACCAGGACCUUUAAAGCAGUUAUGGAAGUGGAGAAAGAACAUACUGUGAAUUUGAUGUUGCACAGAACAGGUGCUGAAAUCCUUCUUGUUAGAAACAUGUAAAUGAAAAAUGAUCAACAGAAGAGGAGGAUAAAUAGGAGAAGCUGGCGUUCCUUUAACAGGCACUGAACUGUGUUUUGUCUAAUAAAAGACAUAAGAACAAAGGGCGUGGAGGAAGCUAUUUUUCUUCUAGCAUUAGACUGUGCUCUAAAAGGCAAAACUUGAACACAAGCAACCAAUUGCACCAACAGCAGUGAAAAGAUGUGGCACAUGAGGAUGGCAGAUGCUGUGCUUUCUUCACAGCCUUGAAGAGGGCUGUCUGUUUUGUCAUUAUUUCUAGCUUAGGACUUUGUGAGCUACUGCUCCAGCUGGAUAUUUUCUCAUACAACCCCCAAAAUCUCCUUGGUAAUGGCAGCUGGCAUCUUUGUUCACUACUGGGGUACGUGCUAGCACUUUCACGUGGUACUUUCAGGUAUUCUCUUCACAUCCAAUACUUAGUGUUUCUGCUAGCAUCAAUAUUUUGAGUCUUUUUUUAGCUUAGUGUUCAGAUAUUGAGGCCAGUCAGCUGGAGUCAGUGUUGGGCAUAGUUUGGGGCUUUUUGAUGAGAAUAAGGUUCCUGCACACUCUUUAUCCUGGGACCUGGGCUGCAGAGCCAGCACAAGGAGAUCUGGAGGAGAGGGAGGAUUGCAGCUGCAGAGAGUGCUGGGGUAAGAAUGGCUGGCAGAAGAAGGCAUUUUUGAAAACAAACACACAUGCAUACAAACAACUCUGGGCUCUGGGACACGAUAAGAUGUAUCCCUUGUCUGAAGGGGCUUUACACAGGUAAAGCUUUUUGUUUGAAGCAGAUUUGCUUUACAGCAAGAAAUUGCCUUGUGUUUGCAGUUGUUGGGUUCUUUUCCUUUUAGGCUCUGAUAGAAUUCUUCUCCUUGGACUACUGUGAUCAUGUGUUCAAGGCCUAAUUGCCACACUGGAGUGAUGUAUGGCUCUGAAAUUUCUGGGGUACUUGGGUGAGUAUGUCUGAUGUCUGAAUGUUCGAGUUAGUUUUGCAAGUUAAAAGUGCUUGAGAAGUGGUGAGGAAAAGCGUAAAAGGCCUUUGGACAUGUCCUUGUGUUAGAGUGCAUGUGUAACUAGCUGGGGUGUGGAAGAGAUACCACCACUUGCCAGCGUUGCACCUCAGAGAAGAGCUGUGUCGCAGAGAGCACAGUGCUAUCCGUUGGUAACUGCUGCCUUUUCAUUAUCAACCACUGUGCUAUUGCAUUAUUGAUUAAUGCUGUUGAAAGCUAUUCCUGCUGGUCCCUGAUGUUCUUACUGAAAACCACUUAAUGUAUCAGCCACAUCUAAUUGAAUAGCAAGAAGAGUGAGUGAAAUGUCAUUCGUAAGCGCUCCUUCCCUUUAUAGUCAUUGGCAAAAGUAUGUAUGUCAUUGAAUAUUGAAAGCAUCCUGAAGGCAUCAAAUUUCCAGAUACAAUCCUGACUUGUUAAUAUUUUAUUGAACUAAUGCUAGAAAUGCUACUACUGCUAAUGUUGCUCUGGACUUACAUGCUUCACUUACUGCAGGGACUAAAAGUGUUCUGUACAUCUGAAGUAUUACCAUAUCUCAGAAUGAUUGGUAAGUAAUACUCCAAUCAAUUACUAAAUCUAUAAGUUGAAUCACAUAGACAUUAGAAGAAAUUCUGCAAUUUCAGUAAAGUCAGUGGUGGAACUGCAAAAAGAAAUUAGCUAACUUUUAAACAUUGGUAUUAUAAAUAACACCGAAAGACUUCAGUCAGUAUCAGGGCCUCGUUAUGCUGAACUCUGUACUGAUGCAUGCAAGGAAAGACGAAAAGUCUUGGCUGCAAGGAAUUCACAUAGUGAGUAGCCAAGACACAGUGCUGCAUGAAGGAGAUGCUCACUACAGGCAGGAAGCAAAGCAAAUUGGUUUGCUAAGGCCACUGUGUACCACCAGCAGAGACCAAAUUCAGAUUUCUGGACUGUAUGCAAUUUCUCAAGUUUAUUUUACAGUGCACUUUUGAUGCUUGUGGAAGGUUGCCCUGGUUCCACUUUGCCGUAUAUCUUUGUGUGAUGAUGGACAUGUAUGGACAUUUCCUAUCUGGCCUCUUCCACUUCCCAGAGACUCCAGUUACUCUGAUACCCGCGUUCAUUUCAUUCUCUUUUAGCCUCUGAGGAGUUCAGGAGUGGGAUGCAGACCUCAGUACACCACCACGCAUGAGGGUCAGUCACCCCCCGUAGAAGCCUUCAGCAGUAUCCAAAGGACAAGUUGCUUAAGCCCUCUUUUCAGCAUAUGGACAUCUCUUUAAAAGCAUGCUGUCAUGGAUCCUCAGGAAUUCCUCUUCCCUUGGUCCUGCAAGUGCAGUUGAGAGUUACUCAAGAUGAGGCCUAUGAAAGGCUCAUAGGCAGCUGCCCCACUGCUGGAGGACUGACCACAAGAGAGCAGCCAGAAAUCACAGCUUGAGCUUCAGGGAAAUGUGACAACAAGCAAGCUAAUUUGAUCUCUCAGCUGAGAACUGCAGUGGAUGAGAAGCUGCUGCCUGGCGGCAAUUGUGGCCACCACAGAGAGGGUGGGCAAGAUGGUAAUCAACCCUUCUGAGAUGAGGAGCCCACCUGCCUCUCAACACUUACCUUGGUACGAAGAGCUGCAUUCUGCCCUCCUGGCCUCCUUCUGAAGCUUGUGGCUGUGGGGGAGUCACCACCACAGUUCCAGCUGCUAACUCAUGUCCCAAAGGCACUGAAUUGUCUUCUAGCAAUGUUUUUGUCUCCUCGUUGACACAAAGAGGGUACAGAUAAGCAGGUGUCUGAAGCACCUCCAUACCUAAACUAAAUCAACGUGCAUCUCCCACAGCUCUGUCCCUUCUUUCCCAGCAGCCAUUUGUCAGAUCUUUAUAAAUAGCAGUCUUCUAAAAGAAAACAGGGAGAUAUAAAUUCAGAGAAAAAAAAAAUCAGGCUGAAAACCCUUUCAUAACUGACACUCCCACAGAGAGGUAAGAACAAAAGAAGAAAGGCCAGGACAAAACAUCUCCGAGUGGUGCCAGGGAGAUGGAGGAGGGAGACACAUGCCUACAUUUUCUACUGCUGAGCAACCAGGAAAAAAACCCAUAUCAUAUAUAAUUGGUAUAAAGCACUUGGGGUUUUGUAUUUUUUUUCCUGUUGUUUUUGCUUUCAAUCUAAAAAAUGUAAAGUUGGAAUAUAUUUGCAGGAAACUUGAAAGCUGUGACACAGAUCUACAGAAGAAAUACCUACAGAAUAUAGUUUAGGAAUUUUUUUUUUUUUUUUAAUUUCUGUUCAAAAAGUUAAUAAGUUUAUCUAGUAAGCAAAGGAAAAAAGAUGAAUAUACAAAGAAUGGAAAUAGUCCAAACAGUUCAUUGAGUUUAUGAUCUACAAAAUCCUCUACUAAUAUAAGCCAGAUUUCUCAUCUUUCAAACAGUGCUGGCAAGUGACAUCCCACCCUACACAGCUUGCAUGUUGCAAUCACUGUAAGAAGAGCUGUCUCAUACCAAGAUUGUGCUUGAUGUCCUCUACUUCCUUCUGUCUAUUUUUCCUGAAUAGAUAACGUCUGAGAAGAUAACAAAUUAUCUGUGUAUAUUCAAUAGAAGAUGUAGAGUUUUUCUUUGCAUAGUGUGUAUUGUGUCAUUCUGUUAUUUGUACAUCAUAACAGCAUAACCCAGGCCUUGAGUAUAUAUCAGUACUUUCUUGCAUACUUGUACCACUUAAGAAGAUUAAAUACAUUUAUUUAGGACAUAUCAUUUGUCUGAACUAUGCUACAACCUCUACAAUAACAGACUGCACAGCUUUUCCAAACAGUAUUUUCCAAGUUCCACAGCCCAUUGAAUCUAUUUUUUGCCACAAAAUGUAAUAUGAGUCAUCAGCUGCAGCCUUGUCAUUUCUACCACAGACACGGGACAGCUGACAUCUCCAUCUUCCCAACAGUCUUUUAUGUAUUUCCCUGUAUUCCAAUGCUGUCAUUAUAUAGUUCCCCAUUUUCUUCCUUUAUUUUCUUCCCUUCCAACUCUUCAAAUUUUCUAACCCCUUUAUUAUUCUUACUGUUUGCCCCAAAUGAGACACAAGACCACCUCUUUCUGGAAGAAUAGAACCUGUUGCAAGACACAGCUGAGCUGCCCAGCAAUGGACCUUUCAAAGAGGAGAAAGGACAUUCCUCCAUGCUUAUUGCAGUUCAUAUAUGUGCUUCACAUUCUCAGCGUGGUGUUUGCCCACUUCUCAUCAUUAAUAUAAUUCUCUGAUUACAACCAAUACUGUCUUCUCUGAUUACAACCGAUACUGUUGAUCACCCAUCAACUUCUAUCUUAAAACUACAGAAUACAAAAGGACUGACUACCACAAAGAGUAACCCUCACAGCCUACGUGGAGAACUUGGCAUACCAAGCAUCAAGACUUGCAAAAUACAUUGUAAUCCCAGAUGUCAGAUGUGGUAAGACAGAAAGGCAACCAGACAAGCCAAUGUUCAGCUUUGUUCUCCCCUAGAUUAUGGUACUUUGAGCUAUUAGGGCUACUAUUCAUGAAACUAUUGAAAAAAACGUAAGGUAGAUUCAGAUAUUCAGCACCAGGAUUUUGGGGUGGAAAACAGGAGGGGGAUGCUUACUGCUUGCUGUGGCAUCAUUCUUAGAAACCUGAAUACAAGAUUAAAGAAACGGGUUCCAUGAAGAACAUUAUAAGUAAUAGUGCCUGCCUAUAAGUUAUACCCUUGCAUGUAAACAAGUGUGAGAAAGCUCUCACGUGAGGAGUUGAAAUUGAGACUGGAACUGACCACACAACCUGUAAAUAAUGUCUCUGGAAAAUAGGAAAAAACUCAAGACAAAUCACUCAGAAAACUGAUUUUUAAGCAUCACUGGAAAGGCCAAAGCUGAGAAAGUGAAAAGCUGACAAGUAAACUAGUAAGAAGGUUUUAAUUGUAGAGUUUGGAUGUAUCACAAAAAGGGAAAAAAAAAAAAAACAACAAAGCAGCAUGUGCAGUGCAUGCAGUCAUUCCCACUCCAGAGGCUGUUUGCACAUAGAAUUUCCCCGAGAGUACAGAGGCAGCUUGCCACAGAGAGAGUUGCUACUCAGCAGCUGUGCCUUUCCUGACAUAUAUUCAAUGAUUUGGAACAGGAGAGUCUGAUUCAGAAAAAAGCAUGAAUAAUUUGAAUUUUAUUAUGCACAGACUGCUAAACACUGAUUCAUGAUAAAACAUCAUUAUCAAUCGUCAGUACUGUGAUAGUGACUUACGACCCAGCCAGAACCAGUAUAGUUGUCUUGGAUAAGUCAAAAAGAGAUGGUGCAGCCUAGAAGUGCACAAGAUCCUACUGAAAAAUAGAGGAGUAGAGAAAAAGAUUGAUAAGGGUGCGACUAUGUGACAUAUAAGUUUUGAAAUGUACAUCAUAAACUCUGUACUUUCCUCACAUAGAUUUCAAGCAAGGCCUCAAUAAAUCCUACCAGUCAGUAGCUAGGUGAUAGCAUAUUGUUAUCAUACGUGGGCAUAUUGUCUUGGAACCUUUGUCAAAGGACAAAUUGUGUUCAAACCCAUAUAGCCUGCAUGGUUGUUGCUUUACACAGCUGAAGUCCGAAAUGGCAAAGGGAGAGCAUGCUGACUUGGAUGGGAGCACGUAGGACAAAAUCUUGAAAUGUAGCUGCUUUUGUACUAGAAGUCUUAAUCAAAAUAACUACUUGAUCAACAGUACUCCGUACUCCCACUGUGUUCCAAGAAUUUAGUGGUGUGUAUUCUUAAGGUCUUUUGGGACGAGCAAAAAAAUUAUUCUUAACCAGGUCAUUUCUCAUUUUCCAGUUGCUGGAAGCAAAGCAAAAAAUGCUUAAAAUUUAGAAAAUGACUAAUGGGGUUACUGUGCAUUUUUGGCAUUGGUGAUUUUCUUAUGAUUAACGACUUUUCUGUUUCCCCAGCCUAUAGUAUCAUAAAUUAAUAUCACAAAGAGAAAUAUUAAAAACCAACCCCUAUGGGAGAAUUAACAAGUAAACUAAAGCAGCAUACUAUUAACAUACCAGACGUUCUGCACAGGCCAUCACAAAUCAGGCCGGAAUUAUUAGCUAAGAUAUAGCACCACGUGAAUGCGCAUCUAUUGUGCCUGUUCCCACAAAUUCAUGUAACACUUUCAACAAAUGAAUCUUCCUUGAAUCAGGAGCACAGAGCAGAGACAGAUGACUGGGGGAACAGUUUUCCCUAAGUUAACCCGUCUUAACAGUAAGGUGUGUAGGGCAGAAUUUACCUGAGGCUAUUUCUGUUACUUUGUUGACAUCAAGAAAUUAUCAUUCCAUCUUUGAGGCAUACAUGGCAAUAUGUACCUUUUCUGUAGCCAGUGUUCUAGUUUUUUUGUAAAGCUUUCACUGUGCCUUGAUUUCUGCCUCCAUUUAGACAAAAAUACAGUUCUUUCUCUGAUUUUAUCUCUUUUUGAAUACUGCAUUCUGCUGUUGAAAAAAAGAUGCACACCUACACAAGUUUUUGGUGAGGCUAGGUCUGCUACAUUCUUUAACCAGCUUGCUCCUGGACUUUCAUUAUUCUUGUCAGAGUCUAGAUGGUUUGAGCAUGGUCAUUAUCAUGGAGCUAUCUUUCAAGUUCUUCACAAACAUUUUCAUUCCUUAUUUUGACUUUCCUCCUCUUUCUGCAAUUCUUCAUCUUCUACAGCACAAUUACAUGGCCAAGAUUUAAAGUAAUGAAAAGGCAAACAAAUCAUGGUUGUUACAGCAAUUAAACCCAAAAAUAACCAAUUUGCUCACUUUUCCUUUGCAAAUGCAUUUCAGAGACUGCUUUAGGGACUCCCCAUGUGCAAGAAUGGUUGUUCUAGGUAUUUUUGUUUUUACGUAGAAGAUGUAUUUUUUCAAAGAAAAUAUAUUUGACAUUUUGCAACAGGUGAAAGUUAAGAUUACGCCAAUAAAAUGAUGGUGCUUUUCACAGAAUGAAGUACCACAUGUUUGUGAUGAAAGCUUCAAAGAAUGAAACCUCUGGAGCCACAGGUAUAAUACAGAAAUAGGCAUUUGGGAGUAGAAAGUGCUUCUUGUUACCUACAGCCAGAGUGCACGCUUAUGUGAAAAGUGUCUUUAUCGAGGCCUGUUCAACUACAGACACAGGUAUUGAACAGUGAUCAUUCUUCACAACCUUCCCAAUCUUAAUUUUUAAUAGAAUUUGUGUGUUUUUGUGAGAAGACUCCCAUGCUAGUGUUCAUAAGACAAAUAGGAUUUGCAUUUCAGUUAAUACUGAAAAGCUCACAACUACAUGGCAAGAGUGCAUCUUCUUGCUUUAGCUCACUUGGGAUCUCAUCUGUGCUCCUUAGCACAGGGUCACCAGUUGGUCAGUCAGGAACUUCUUCAGCGUUCAGAGAAUGUUUCCCCAUUAACAAUCCUUAAAGUAUGAAGACUUGCUAUAAUUUUAACUAAAAUCUGCUUUUUCACUUUUCUGAGAAGCUGUAACACCACCAAAAGUGCAUUAACAAUAUGGUGUGGAAAUUUAAAGUAUCUCCUGCAGGCUACUUAGCAAAGCUGCCCAGCUUUGGCUGACAUUAUUCAAAAGGACACCUUCAUUCCUGAAUCAUGCACACAACUGGGCACUCCAGCUCUUCACCACCUCUUGAACUGAUUUUUCAAUGCAAUGAUUUUCCAGUUUUAUCCUACUUUUGGUUCAGUGUAAAAGCACCUGCUUAUUUCUUUGCCCAUAUCAAGCUGUUUGCUGUGUACUUUUUGUCUGUUCACAAUCUUGUGUAACAACAUAGGAUUCUACAGAAUUUAUUCUGUGAAAACUGAAAAUGGCCUCAUCAGUAAAAAUAAGUGUUUAGACCAUAAGUCUUUAUAGUCCUAGCUUAACUGGUGGUUACACUGGGAGAAAGAGAGCAAAGCAAUACACAGGCUGGUGAGAGCAAACACCUGAAUAAACGAGGAGGUGAUCUGCCACUUGUACUGGAGGCCUUCCUCCAAAGCCAAGGGCUGCUAGGCCUGGGAAGUAAAACUUCAGAGCAUCACUAUGCAGUUUAUAACUAAAGGAGGGGCCACGGGUUUUACCUGAUCAGGGGAAGAAACACAGAGGCUGUGUAAGAGUGCUUUGCAGCCACCCUGAGCUACAGCUAAGGAAGAAGUCUACAUCUGUGAGACUCAACAAAAUCAUAAGAAGCAAUCCUAAAUCACUGACAGUUAAGAAGACAUGAGUAUUAAGCCAACAUCAGAAGCAAACCCAGGGCAGAGGAAAUGGGGAAGACUAAA